This 253-nucleotide ribosomal RNA is filed under the name uncultured bacterium. Its description in RNAcentral is "partial 16S ribosomal RNA". It matches the Rfam family "Bacterial small subunit ribosomal RNA", at positions 524 to 776 of the family's 1533-position model. The record is from RNAcentral.
UACGGGGGGGGCAAGCGUUGUUCGGAAUUACUGGGCGUAAAGGGCUCGUAGGCGGCCAACUAAGUCGGACGUGAAAUCCCUCGGCUCAACCGGGGAACUGCGUCCGAUACUGGAUGGCUUGAGUUCGGGAGAGGGAUGCGGAAUUCCAGGUGUAGCGGUGAAAUGCGCAGAUAUCAGGAGGAACACCGGUGGCGAAGGCGGUUCUCUGGGAAUAUCCUGACACUGAGGAGCGAAAGCCAGGGGAGCAAACGGG